This 68-nucleotide small nuclear RNA is filed under the name Ailuropoda melanoleuca (giant panda). Lineage: Eukaryota; Metazoa; Chordata; Mammalia; Carnivora; Ursidae. The record is from RNAcentral.
UCAUACAGAGAGUACCAUGGCCCCUGCCCAAGGAUGACACGCAAAUUCGUGCAGCGUUCCAUAUUCAU